GCUUGUCUCAAAGAUUAAGCCACGCAUGUCUAAGUAUAAGCAAUUAUACGGCGAAACUGCGAAUGGCUCAUUAUAUAAGUUAUCGUUUAUUUGAUAGUACUUUACUGCUUGGAUAACCGUGGUAAUUCUAGAGCUAAUACAUGCUAAAAAUCCCGACUUCGGAAGGGAUGUAUUUAUUAGAUUAAAAACCAAUGCCCUUUGGGCUCCUUGGUGAGUCAUGAUAACUUCUCGAAUCGCAUGGCCUUGCGCCGGCGAUGGUUCAUUCAAAUUUCUUCCCUAUCAACUUUCGAUGUUUGGGUAUUGGCCAAACAUGGUCGCAACGGGUAACGGAGGGUUAGGGCUCGACCCCGGAGAAGGAGCCUGAGAAACGGCUACUACAUCCAAGGAAGGCAGCAGGC
RNAcentral lists this ribosomal RNA (398 nucleotides) under uncultured fungus. RNAcentral describes it as "SSU rRNA". It matches the Rfam family "Eukaryotic small subunit ribosomal RNA", at positions 30 to 433 of the family's 1831-position model. The record is from RNAcentral. Lineage: Eukaryota; Fungi.